UCAGUAUUAGCCAAUGCUGGCAAGAGUGAACUAGCUAACUGGAAUCACGAAUGUGUCAUUUGUGAUAACGUAAAGGAAAAAUAAUGAUGUCACUUUACUACUAGUGUUGUCAAAAUCUGGUGCCAGAAGACUCGGUAAGGCCAGAGACGCAAGUGUUAGUCAUCUUGAUCAGGCGUAAAGGGUGUGUAGGCGGCUUUAAAUAUUAAUAAUUCAAUCCACAAUCAUAUAAAAGUCACCGUGAGAUAACACUUAGUGUAGGGUUGAUAUCUGUAAAUACUUAGUAUAAUACUAAUUAGCGAAUGUUCUUAUCCAAAUAAUGAUUGACGCUGAGAAACGAAGGGGAGGAACGACAAUACGAUUAUAUACCCUGGCAUCCCUCUCUGUCAACGAUGAAUGGUAGUUGCUAGUUCUAAUGAGUUAGCGGUGAUGCCAACACGUUAACCAUUCCGCCUUGUGAGUACAA
Molecule: ribosomal RNA, 463 nt
Filed under: Gautieria parksiana
Lineage: Eukaryota; Fungi; Basidiomycota; Agaricomycetes; Gomphales; Gomphaceae
Description: partial 12S small subunit ribosomal RNA
Rfam family: Bacterial small subunit ribosomal RNA
Source: RNAcentral